GGCAAAGUCCCAGCCUGCCUCCAAGUAUUCCCUUCCCCAGCCCCUACAGUUCUCUUGAGGCCAAGAUCUUUGCAAAGCCAGAGGCCCAAUAACAGGUUAUACAUACAAGACUGAUUGUGCCCAGCGCUGCUGCAUCUGCUCUCUGGCAGCACAUGGCUGCAUGUUUCUCUGGGCCCUGCCUGGUGCGCAGCAGCCAUAUCCUGGGCAGGUGUGCUGGGGCUGUUGCCUCACCUGGCCCUGGGAUGCUGGUAGCUCCGGAUUGACCAGGGUUUCUGAUGGGAAGGGAUGUACUACAGAGAAAUUCACUGUCCAGACAGGGAAACUGAGGACCAGGCCGUUCGCAGUUAGUGUUAGUACAGUCCUUCUUGGCCACUCUAAAUCCUCUGCUGCCUCUACAGCUGGAGGGUUCUGAUCCGUUGGCUUACAGGUGUGUCCUGUGGGCCACAUGGGGGUGGGUGGGUGUUCACAGCACACUGCCUGGAGCCAUGGUGCACACAGCAGGGGGUCUGAGGCUGCGCAGAAUGGCCCACUUCUAAACAAGCGUGUCUGAGCUUUGCCAGGUGUCCAUGUUUGGAACACAAUAAAAGAGGAGGUCUUCGAAAGGAGGUGACUCAGAGAAGCAACGCUAGACUCACCCCAGAGCUGCAACCUGCUAACUUCACAGAGCCUCACAGCAGAAUUAUUUAACCCCAAGCCCCCUCUCCUCAUGGGGACAAAAGAGAAAUCAGGCUGAUGCUAUCUCCCUCAUAGCACACUUAGGAGGAGCAAAUGAAACGGCAUAUGUAAAAGUGCAUUGUAAAUUGCAAAGUGGCAGAUGAGAUUAUUAUUACUGCUUCCUUCACCUCAACAAAGACCCAUAAUCACAGACAAUGCAUCGAGCCUGGUGAGGGUGUGGCCUUUCUUGGCCCUGCCCUUUCUCCUUGGCUCCUCCCACGCUCUUGGCUUUUCUCCUGGAUUCCCUGCUCUCCCAUCUGCAGCAGGUUGGGGCCCCAUGGAUAACUAUAUCUAGGGACCGACUCCUGGGAUCUUACCAAGUCACAUUUGCAGUUGGUGCCUCCUUAGUCACUGCCAGGAUUCCAGGCAGGUAUAAUGUGCUGCACUUAAUGUAGAGGAUCAGGGUCCCAGUGAGCAGCUUCAUCUUCAGGCGUCGGGAGUGGGAGCAAUGGAGCACCCAUGGUCUCCAGGUCUCAGGCCACUUGGGUCUGGGAUUUGAGGCUCAGGGGGAGGAGUCCUGCGGUGACUGCUGUGAAGUGGUGUGGGGGCUCAGGAUGGGACCUACUUCAUGGGACAUGAUGGAUGAGACUCAGGAUGCCAGGAGGGAGGCACAGCCCACACUUAGCAGCUUGGCGCACGCAAAUAGGAGCUCUGCUCACAGCCUGUGCUGGGCACUUCAUUUCCCAGAGACAACCGGCGCGUUUUAAUAAUGUCUACUUGGGUUAAUGAAAGUUGUCGGUUUCACUUAAUAAAUACAUUGCCAUUCUUGGCCACACAUAUCCGUCAUGCUGGGCCUGGAGCUGUGCGUCCCGCCUGAGUUGAGUAGGGAUGCUGGGAGUGGGAAUGGGGUGGGGAAAGCAUGGGGCAUAUGGGUAGAGAGUGAGGUCUGGAGGGCAUGGGACAUGGUCCCUCUUGGGAGUUAAGCAGAGGGAGUCCUCUCAUUGCAUCUUUCCUCUGGGAUCAAAUUAGAGGCACAAAGGGCAGAAGGGAACCUUGGAGGUUCCUCCUGUUCAUUCUCUGCCUCAGGGAAGUGACACACAGAAUGGCCCCUUUGGCAGGGAGCAGUGAGCCAUAGUGUGGUCCAGAGGGACGCAGGCCAUCUUGGGAAGGAAUCCCAGUUGACCACUCAUUAUCUCUGUAACUAAGUCAAUUAUUCAAUCUCCCUGAGCCUCCAUUUCUUCAGUAAAAUGGAGCUAAUAAUCAUAUUUGCUUCAUAGAGCCUGUUUCGAGCAUUCCAGCAUAAGCCAUGGGAAGCUCUUAGCAGGCACCCAGCAUCUAAAGCACUCAAAUCAGAGUCACUAGUAUUAUUAAUGUUAAAAUAUUAUUUUUAUGAAGGCACAGUUUAGUAUGGUGUUUAUGAGAGUGGAUCUGGAGUGUGGGUUUGGAUUUCGGGUGUAUCACUUACUAGCUGUGUCACUCUGGAGAAUUUAUGUAGUCUUUCUGUGUUUCAGUUUCCAAGUCUGUAAAAUACGGGGAAAUAAUACCUAACUCAUGGAGCUGUGAGGAGUGAGCAGAUUAUGACAUGUACAUCCUUUGGAACACAGACCCAAUAAAUGUUAAGAAUUAUUAAGUUGUCGAUUUCACAGGGCCAUGGGGGAGGGAAGUCCGG
RNAcentral lists this long non-coding RNA (2323 nucleotides) under Homo sapiens (human). RNAcentral's name for it is "non-protein coding lnc-ST3GAL4-3:2". The record is from RNAcentral. Lineage: Eukaryota; Metazoa; Chordata; Mammalia; Primates; Hominidae.